AGUGAACGCUGGCGGUAGGCCUAACACAUGCAAGUCGAACGGCGGCACAGUAAGAGCUUGCUCUUACGGGUGGCGAGUGGCGGACGGGUGAGGAAUACAUCGGAAUCUACUUUUUCUUGGGGGAUAACGUAGGGAAACUUACGCUAAUACCGCAUACGACCUACGGGUGAAAGCAGGGGAUCUUCGGACCUUGCGCGAUUGAAUGAGCCGAUGUCGGAUUAGCUAGUUGGCGGGGUAAAGGCCCACCAAGGCGACGAUCCGUAGCUGGUCUGAGAGGAUGAUCAGCCACACUGGAACUGAGACACGGUCCAGACUCCUACGGGAGGCAGCAGUGGGGAAUAUUGGACAAUGGGCGCAAGCCUGAUCCAGCCAUGCCGCGUGGGUGAAGAAGGCCUUCGGGUUGUAAAGCCCUUUUGUUGGGGAAGAAAAGCAGCAGGUUAAUACCCCGCUGUUCUGACGGUACCCAAAGAAUAAGCACCGGCUAACUUCGUG
This 492-nucleotide ribosomal RNA is filed under the name uncultured bacterium. RNAcentral's name for it is "partial 16S ribosomal RNA". It matches the Rfam family "Bacterial small subunit ribosomal RNA", at positions 29 to 507 of the family's 1533-position model. The record is from RNAcentral.